This 273-nucleotide long non-coding RNA is filed under the name Setaria italica (foxtail millet). RNAcentral describes it as "long non-coding RNA (SITA_LNC006945)". Lineage: Eukaryota; Viridiplantae; Streptophyta; Magnoliopsida; Poales; Poaceae. The record is from RNAcentral.
CCAGCAUUUAAAUGUUCCAUAGAUGAAACCUAUUCGGAUUUUAUAAUACAAAUUCAUUUUUCAAACACGAAACCUAUGCAAAGCAGCAUGAAUGCAAACAAAUAAAUUUGUCUCCUAUGGUUCGUUUAAAUUUAUUCUAGAAAAUAUUAUUUGCAUGCAGCUAAUUGUGAAUUAAAGCAAAAUAAUUCUAGGAAAUUGCUAGAAAAUUUCAAGCUAUUGUGAAAAUUAAAAUUAGGGUGUUACAGAUUCUACCCCUUAAAAUGAAUCUCUUCC